Molecule: long non-coding RNA, 715 nt
Organism: Oncorhynchus tshawytscha (Chinook salmon)
Lineage: Eukaryota; Metazoa; Chordata; Actinopteri; Salmoniformes; Salmonidae
Source: Ensembl
GUGGAGGCUAUAUACAGGGGUACCGGUACAGAGUCAAUGUGGAGGCUAUAUACAGGGGGUACCGGUACAGAGUCAAUGUGGAGGCUAUAUACAGGGGGUACCGGUACAGAGUCAAUGUGGAGGCUAUAUACAGGGGUACCGGUACAGAGUCAAUGUGGAGGCUAUAUACAGGGGGUACCGGUACAGAGUCAAUGUGGAGGCUAUAUACAGGGGGUACCGGUACAGAGUCAAUGUGGAGGCUAUAUACAGGGUGUUAUGGUACAGAGUCAAUGUGGAGGCUAUAUACAGGGGUACAGGUACAGAGUCAAUGUGGAGGCUAUAUACAGGGUGGUAUGGUACAGAGUCAAUGUGGAGGCUAUAUACAGGGUAUUACGGUACAGAGUCAAUGUGGAGGCUAUAUACAGGGGUACCGGUACAGAGUCAAUGUGUAGGCUAUAUACAGGGGUACCAGUACAGAGUCAAUGUGGAGGCUAUAUACAGGGUAUUACGGUACAGAGUCAGUGUGGAGGCUAUAUACAGGGGUACCGGUACAGAGUCAAUGUGGAGGCUAUAUACAGGAGGUACUGGUACAGAGUCAAUGUGGAGGCUAUAUACAGGGGUACCAGUACAGAGUCAAUGUGGAGGCUAUAUACAGGGGGUACCAGUACAGAGUCAAUGUGGAGGCUAUAUACAGGGUGUUACGGUACAGAGUCAAUGUGGAGGCUAUAUACAGGGG